Panicum virgatum (switchgrass) is the source of this 573-nucleotide long non-coding RNA. RefSeq lists it as uncharacterized. NCBI's taxonomy places the organism in Eukaryota, Viridiplantae, Streptophyta, Magnoliopsida, Poales, Poaceae. The transcript is spliced from 3 exons. The record is from RefSeq and is a predicted model, not a curated record.
CUUCUCAGGAGCCUUCUUCAGGGCAUUGGAUUUUGCUGGGGUUUACGCAAACUGCUUCUUGUUUGGGAUCCUGCCUCCAGUCAUGGCCUGGAUUCAUCGAUCACAGCAGAGAAAGAGAUCACCUGAUUCUUCUGAAGAUAUUUUGCCUGGUGGAAAUGCCGCUCUCUUGAUACUUUUCGUUAUUGCUGUGGUCCUAGCAAUAUGGCACUAGAAGAAGUUGCUAGGAAUCUGACAGGAAUAGGCGCCUGCCAGCUGCAGGUUGUUUACUGCCAUCAGGGGAAGGGAAAGAGCAGUGGGUGCAGUUGCAUUCGUUGACUUGAGCUCUCAUAGUCAUACCUUAAUGGCAAACAAGAUCACCGUUAAGGCGUUAAAAACUACUAUGUGAGCUCACUAUUCAUGUUAUGUUAAGUACUUGUGCCUACAGGAAUGAUGAAUUCCUUGUGGAUGAACGAUUAUUGGCGGAAAUUCAAAUUGCUGGACAGGCAUUUGUCGCGCAAAACAAUCAUGCGAGAAAUAUUUCUGAAUGAUUAUGGGCAAGUACGUUCAGGUGCAUAUGCUUGUAGUAAUCAUUUA